CAGAUUAGCAUGGCUCCUAUGCAACGAUGACACCCCAAUUUGGAAAGUGUUCCACAUUUUU
Molecule: small nuclear RNA, 61 nt
Filed under: Nannospalax galili (Upper Galilee mountains blind mole rat)
Lineage: Eukaryota; Metazoa; Chordata; Mammalia; Rodentia; Spalacidae
Source: RNAcentral